AUGACGGCGAGACGGGCAGUUUUUUAAGAGACCAGGGAAUACGGACAGAGAGAGAGGAAACUAGUGUUUUGAAAAGAGGAAAAAAGAAGGACGAAGGGAUCCGUUCCAACAGCCGGUUCCAUUUUGGAUCCAGAUCCCAGUCUGCAAAAUACUUGGAUCUGUUAACCUCAGCUGAUGAUGAAUCUCUUAUCAAAUCCUCACGGUUUUCAUUAGCAAGGAGCAACAGAAAACUUACUGAUGGGCUGAGAACAUAAUAAGGCUGCGACUAAAAACUGAAGUGUUGCUGUUGUAGCUACUUAAAGUCUUUCUCCGAAAACAGGAAAAGGGAUGUUGUCUUAUCUUCUGCUGAGCACAAUAUAUGUGUUUACUCGUGUCUAUUGUUUUGUUCAUAUGGUAUUCUGUUUUGCUUCCCCAGAAGCUGUCGGUUCAGAUCAGAUUUUGUGUGCAGAACUGAAAUGAAGCGGAAACCACACUGACCCGGCAGCGUGCCCGUGGGGUUUGGAGCACACCCAGUGGUGUACACUGAGAACAUUUCCUAGAAAUGAUGGCAAACACCUGCACUUUGAUUAGGAAAGCUUUAUGCAAACAGAACAUGGACCAAAACAAGAUUAAAAAAGGGUGGACGCAGAGUGAGGAGGGUGGAGGCCAUAUUGACACGAAGGUGAACACAUUAAAGCUAUACGCACCCGCUGAUGAUAAUGCUGUCGUCAAACAGGUAGGCCUUGAUGUGCUGGACUCCGAUGGUCUCGUUGAAGCGCUGAGGGACCAGCAGCCGCAGCAGCCCCCUCAGGUCUGGAGUGUGAUACAGAGACACCCGCAUCUGAGAGGCGAAGCGCUGCAGCAACGGCAGCAGCAUGGUCCUCGAGUUGACCUGUCCUGCACACGAGAGCCACAAAACACAAUCAGGACGAUGAGCGCGGCGCUCGGCGAUACUCAGCACGGGGGAAAACGGCAACAACCUCGCGAGCCGCGCGUGUAGUCCAGCAAUAUGGAGACUUUCAACUCUGGAGCUUGACCGUUUGCCUGCGAACGCUGCAGAGCUUCCUCCAUACAGUCCACCUGAACAAGAAGAAAAACAACAGUGGAUGACCAUCAGAACAUUCAUAAGAGAGUAAUGCAUCAAUUUCACCCCUAAACAAACAUCUGCAACUGGGUUCAAGUGAACUUCUGUCAAGGAUGAGUGAGCACAAGGUUUCCUUUCGUCUGUAAGCAUGUUUUCACUUCUCAUUCGGCAAACCACAAGGUUUGUGUUCUUCUGCCUUGUCAGCAGGUGAUGUUUGUUCUUACUUGUUCUCUGAAAGCUAAGGAGACGUUACUCUUUGUCCUGCUGCUUGUGUAUGCAAAGAGGGCAGACACAAAACAAAGCCGUGGAUUAACUAUUAUUGAUUAACUGGCAGCAGACAACAUCUAUCAGACACUGGCAACCCUUUUAUUAUCUGUUUACCAAGCGUGGGAAAAGCACAGCUAACUCAAGAGGAAAUGGCAGCUCUUCAGAGGGCACCACUGGUAGCCAGCGUAGAGUCUUCAUUUGUGGCGAGCCUGGCAUUUGUUCCCCACCUGAUAUCAAACCCGCGUGCUUUUUCCACUUCGGCUAAAUUGUGCAUCUGGUGCCCAAAUGCACUCAUUAUACGUCACUCCAGAGAGCUUGUUUGCAUGCCAGUAAAAGGUUUCUUCUUCCCAGUAGAGAGGUCUCUGGGGACGUCUUGCACCACCAACACCUCCAGCUCUGCUCUGGGGAGAAAUGUGAUCACGAGUAGGAGGUCUGAGGGACGCCAAAAAAUGUGCUUGUCCUUUAAAGCAAAGACACAGCAAACUCUGAACAAACACUUACCACCUACAAAUUCGGGGAAAAGCUGCUUUUAACUAAAUGUCAAGUAUUUAGACUGUGGGUCACAAACUGCUGGCCUCCUGCGAGACAAUUUCAUGGUUCAGAGUUUAAAAUUACCCCCAAAACCCAAAAGAAUGAGAGAGGACAAAGAGGCCACCGGCAGCUCAGAGGUAAUUUGAGUUUGAUACUUCUUAGUCCACGUUUAUGUUGUGUUCUACUGUACUUAGUUUUGUUUUUGUGUGUUUUAGAUUUAUUUCUAAUGAAUGUCUUCAUUCAAAAAGAAACUUCACAGCAACAUCAUCCUUUUCAUUCUACACAUUCUUCUGUCUUGUCAAAACCCACUGCCCACAUUACCCACAAUCCCACAAUUCACCACAGACAGUUUGGCUGGGAAUUUGGGUUUGUUCCGAUAAUGUAGCCUCAAGGCUUCACCUGAGGUAAUUUGUUAUAUUCUACGGUGGCACAAGCUCACGUAUGAGCCAAGAAAGGCUUUAAACAACCUUUUUUUCCCCCCACAUAUGCAGUCGUACUCCCCAACACCUGCACACAGGUAUAAAAGCACUCUGAAUUAACUGUGCAUAUUGUCUGCUGAAAAAAAAAAAAAAAAAACACGCCUUUCUUUAAAAAUUUCACAUCAUUCUCAUUGCCUGCACCUGCGCAUAUGUAAAUAAGUCAACAGGGGUGUGACCGUCGAUAUCACUUAAGUGCCUUUUGUGCCGAGCGUGGGAUCAGGGUCGUGUUGGACAUCCAGGCUUUAGGGUGAAAUUACACCUGCAGUUUGGAUUGUUCGCUCUAAACUCACAUUUUUUUUGUCCUGACGUGAGGUCAGUUCAUUCUGUCCAAAUUAAAGCAAACCUGAGCUUGAAAAUAAAA
Scatophagus argus is the source of this 2701-nucleotide long non-coding RNA. RefSeq lists it as uncharacterized. The transcript is spliced from 2 exons. NCBI's taxonomy places the organism in Eukaryota, Metazoa, Chordata, Actinopteri, Scatophagidae. The record is from RefSeq and is a predicted model, not a curated record.